GGUGGCACAUUGGGUCAGUGCGUCUGGCUGUUAACCAGAAGGCUGGUGGUUUGAGCCAACCCAGGGAUG
Molecule: transfer RNA, 69 nt
Filed under: Podarcis lilfordi (Lilford's wall lizard)
Lineage: Eukaryota; Metazoa; Chordata; Lepidosauria; Squamata; Lacertidae
Description: tRNA.Asn
Rfam family: tRNA
About the family: Transfer RNA (tRNA) molecules are approximately 80 nucleotides in length. Their secondary structure includes four short double-helical elements and three loops (D, anti-codon, and T loops). Further hydrogen bonds mediate the characteristic L-shaped molecular structure. tRNAs have two regions of fundamental functional importance: the anti-codon, which is responsible for specific mRNA codon recognition, and the 3' end, to which the tRNAs corresponding amino acid is attached (by aminoacyl-tRNA synthetases). tRNAs cope with the degeneracy of the genetic code in two manners: having more than one tRNA (with a specific anti-codon) for a particular amino acid; and 'wobble' base-pairing, i.e. permitting non-standard base-pairing at the 3rd anti-codon position.
Source: RNAcentral